UCCAAUCAGUAAAAUCCAAAAAUUCUAAAUGUUAACGAUAAUUUUGCUCAUCAAAUAAACCAAUUUCACCAUUUUAUUAUUAUUAUUGCUUUCAAGAUUCCAAAAAUUUCAGCAUUUGAACGCACGACAGCUACAACACAUAUUUCUCUCUGAUGAAGGAUCCAAACUAAGCUUACACAGAAUGGCAGCAGCAGCAGAAGUAAAAGCUGUCGACGACGACGACAACAACAACAACAACAAUAACGAUAAUACAUCUACGUCACUAACUGAUAACAAUGAGAAGAAGAACAAAGUGGAUCCAGAGCUGUUUAGCUGCUUGCUUCAACCGGUAACCACCGAUUCCGAUCCUGAAUAUAUCGGCAUCCGCCGCCUCCUUCUCUACCGCAAAUCCGACUCUGGUGUUAAUCGUCGACUCGACUGGAGAUGCAAUGGAAAAGGAUAUGUUAGCUAUCGUAAUUAUAUUCGCAGGCCGAGAAAUUGGGAAAAUCAGCAAAUACCGAGCCUCCAAACCACUCCAGGGGACAGUGGGCGAUGGCUUCAAUGUCCAAGUCCUCCACUCUCCCAUAUGUUUGAUGCAGAGAGCUGGAGUUCUAGUAGGAACCUAAGUGGAAAUCUGGCUUCAACACACAGAACAAGUUUCAGUUCAAGUGUGAGUGAUAAUGAUCGCCCACGUCGUCGAGGGGUUGAACCAGCAUAUUCUUUUGUAGGAAUGCAUUGCAUAUUUGAUCAAUGCAAAUCUGCUGUUACAGUUUUGAAGUUUGGGCACAUGAGUUCCAAUCUACUUGCUUAUGGGGCGUCAGAUGGGUCCUUAACAGUAUGCACUGUUUCUGAGCCACCUUCGGUCCUCAAACAAUUGAAGGGGCAUUCGAAAGAUGUCACAGAUUUUGAUUUCUCAUCCAACAAUCAGUACAUUGCAUCGUCUUCCAUGGAUAAAACUGUCAGAGUGUGGGAGUUAUCACAAGGUCUUUGCAUUCGAGUAAUAUAUGGAGUCUCUUCACAGUUCUGUAUUCGUUUUCACCCUGUAAAUAACAACUUUCUUUCAGCUGGAAAUGAAAACAAAGAAAUUACUGUAUUCAAUUUCAGCACUGGAAGAAUCAUUCAUAAAGCAGGUUUUGAUGCUAAGAUCACCUCUAUGGACCAUGAUCACACUGGUCAGCUUAUUUUCUGCGGGGAUGGACAGGGAUCAAUAUACUGCGUAAGCAUGGACUCUCACACAGGUAUGCUAUCGCGUUCUCAUCGCCAUCGAGGCAAGAGCAAAUCUCCAGUGACAACUGUGCAGUACCGAAGUUUCUCUUUGCUGGCAGGAGGCCCUGUGUUACUGACAUGCACUCAAGAUGGAAAUCUAUCUUUCUUCAGUUAUGCUGGUGCAGUGUGGCUUUGGAAAUACAAGGUUAUCUGACGCUUCGUUGCUCACUCAAACUGGCUCCAAGAGUACAUAGCAUUCGGGCGUCUUUCUGCCCCCUGCUUUCCCUUGAAAAGGGAGAAUACAUAGUUGUUGGAAGUGAGGAUUCCAAUGUCUACUUCUAUGAUUUAACUCGGCCAAGGCAUACAUGCGUAAACAAGCUACAGGGACAUCGUUUUCCAGUUAUCGGUGUUGCUUGGAACCAUGGAGAGAAUUUGUUGGCUUCAUCUGAUCUUUAUGGCAUUGUUAUAGUAUGGAAGAGAGCAAAGUCUAGUUCAAACAAAUAUACGGGGUAAUAAAUCUCAAACACAUGCAUUUCAUGGAUGAGGAAAAAAAUUAGCUUAUUUUGUCAUUUUACUACGUCUGGCUAUUCUUUUAUAAAUGUCAAUUACCAGUGGUUGCUCUGCUCACAUGUUAUUUCAUGUUUUAUUGUCUCCGAUUGAUAAGAAAACUGAGUGACCAUUGUUUGUAUUACAUUUUGUAACAUCAAUUCGGUGUCUUGAAAUUCUGGAUGCUUCUGAUGCAUUUUUGAAGUACAAGAGCUUGUAUAAAGUGAUUUACAACUUUUUCAGAAA
Ricinus communis (castor bean) is the source of this 1977-nucleotide RNA transcript. It is a transcript of the gene named WD repeat-containing protein 13, with no coding region annotated. The transcript has 12 exons. NCBI's taxonomy places the organism in Eukaryota, Viridiplantae, Streptophyta, Magnoliopsida, Malpighiales, Euphorbiaceae. The record is from RefSeq and is a predicted model, not a curated record.